Molecule: ribosomal RNA, 253 nt
Filed under: uncultured bacterium
Lineage: Bacteria
Description: partial 16S ribosomal RNA
Rfam family: Bacterial small subunit ribosomal RNA
Source: RNAcentral
UACGUAGGGGGCUAGCGUUGUCCGGAUUUAUUGGGCGUAAAGAGCGUGUAGGCGGCCUGACAGGUCUGCUGUGAAAACUCGAGGCUCAACCUCGAGAUGUCGGCGGAAACCGUCUGGCUAGAGUCCGGAAGAGGAGAGUGGAAUUCCUGGUGUAGCGGUGAAAUGCGCAGAUAUCAGGAAGAACACCCGUGGCGAAGGCGGCUCUCUGGGACGGUACUGACGCUGAGACGCGAAAGCGUGGGGAGCAAACAGG